This 500-nucleotide ribosomal RNA is filed under the name Micromonospora sp. Its description in RNAcentral is "bacterial SSU rRNA". It matches the Rfam family "Bacterial small subunit ribosomal RNA", at positions 98 to 613 of the family's 1533-position model. The record is from RNAcentral. Lineage: Bacteria; Bacillati; Actinomycetota; Actinomycetes; Micromonosporales; Micromonosporaceae.
GCGAACGGGUGAGUAACACGUGAGCAACCUGCCCUAGGCUUUGGGAUAACCCCGGGAAACCGGGGCUAAUACCGAAUAUUACCACCGGGCGCAUGUUUGGUGGUGGAAAGUUUUUCGGCCUGGGAUGGGCUCGCGGCCUAUCAGCUUGUUGGUGGGGUGAUGGCCUACCAAGGCGACGACGGGUAGCCGGCCUGAGAGGGCGACCGGCCACACUGGGACUGAGACACGGCCCAGACUCCUACGGGAGGCAGCAGUGGGGAAUAUUGCACAAUGGGCGGAAGCCUGAUGCAGCGACGCCGCGUGAGGGAUGACGGCCUUCGGGUUGUAAACCUCUUUCAGCAGGGACGAAGCGAAAGUGACGGUACCUGCAGAAGAAGCGCCGGCCAACUACGUGCCAGCAGCCGCGGUAAGACGUAGGGCGCGAGCGUUGUCCGGAUUUAUUGGGCGUAAAGAGCUCGUAGGCGGCUUGUCGCGUCGACUGUGAAAACCCGCGGCUCAAC